AUGACGGCGGCCGACUGCCGGACCUGCCUCCGGGACAUAAUUGGGGAAUUUACCCCCGAGUAUUUUGUCGGGAAGCCAGGCGGGAGAGUCUUCCGUGUGCGCUGCAACUUCCGGUUCGAGACGUAUUCUUUCUUCUCUGGGCACCCACUGCUACAACUCCCGGCCAUGUUGCCGCCUUCGCCGGCGCCGGCGCCAGCGGCGACCGGAGAAGGAGAAACAAGACAUAGGAGGACAGGAGAAAACUGGCAAAGAGAAAGCCCUCAGUACAAUGUAAGCUGA
Molecule: ribosomal RNA, 279 nt
Filed under: Triticum aestivum (bread wheat)
Lineage: Eukaryota; Viridiplantae; Streptophyta; Magnoliopsida; Poales; Poaceae
Description: partial small subunit ribosomal RNA
Source: RNAcentral